UGGGGAAUCUUCCGCAAUGGACGAAAGUCUGACGGAGCAACGCCGCGUGAGUGAUGACGGCCUUCGGGUUGUAAAGCUCUGUUAAUCGGGACGAAUGGUUCUUGUGCGAAUAGUGCGAGGAUUUGACGGUACCGGAAUAGAAAGCCACGGCUAACUACGUGCCAGCAGCCGCGGUAAUACGUAGGUGGCAAGCGUUGUCCGGAAUUAUUGGGCGUAAAGCGCGCGCAGGCGGAUUGGUCAGUCUGUCUUAAAAGUUCGGGGCUUAACCCCGUGAUGGGAUGGAAACUGCCCAUCUAGAGUACCGGAGAGGAAAGGGGAAUUCCUAGUGUAGCGGUGAAAUGCGUAGAUAUUAGGAAGAACACCAGUGGCGAAGGCGACUUUCUGGACGAAAACUGACGCUGAGGCGCGAAAGCCAGGGGAGCGAACGG
RNAcentral lists this ribosomal RNA (428 nucleotides) under bacterium. Its description in RNAcentral is "partial 16S ribosomal RNA". It matches the Rfam family "Bacterial small subunit ribosomal RNA", at positions 355 to 775 of the family's 1533-position model. The record is from RNAcentral.